UACGUAGGGUGCAAGCAUUAAUCGGAUUUAUUGGGCGUAAAGGGUGCGCAGGCGGGGAUGUAAGUCAGACGUUAAAGACCGGAACUCAAUUCCGGAAAAGCAUCUGAAACUGCAUCUCUUGAGGGUGGGCGGAGAAAGCGGAAUUCCACAUGUAGCGGUGAAAUGCGUAGAUAUGUGGAGGAACACCGGUGGCGAAGGCGGCUUUCUAGCUUACACCUGACGCUCAUGCACGAAAGCGUGGGGAUCAAACAGGAUUAGAAACCCCGGUAGUACCGUCGU
This 279-nucleotide ribosomal RNA is filed under the name uncultured bacterium. RNAcentral's name for it is "partial 16S ribosomal RNA". It matches the Rfam family "Bacterial small subunit ribosomal RNA", at positions 524 to 803 of the family's 1533-position model. The record is from RNAcentral.